RNAcentral lists this ribosomal RNA (496 nucleotides) under uncultured bacterium. RNAcentral describes it as "partial 16S ribosomal RNA". It matches the Rfam family "Bacterial small subunit ribosomal RNA", at positions 28 to 506 of the family's 1533-position model. The record is from RNAcentral.
GAUGAACGCUGGCGGCGUGCCUAAUACAUGCAAGUCGAGCGAACAGACGAGGAGCUUGCUCCUCUGACGUUAGCGGCGGACGGGUGAGUAACACGUGGAUAACCUACCUAUAAGACUGGGAUAACUUCGGGAAACCGGAGCUAAUACCGGAUAAUAUAUUGAACCGCAUGGUUCAAUAGUGAAAGACGGUUGUGCUGUCACUUCUAGAUGGAUCCGCGCCGCAUUAGCUAGUUGGUAAGGUAACGGCUUACCAAGGCGACGAUGCGUAGCCGACCUGAGAGGGUGAUCGGCCACACUGGAACUGAGACACGGUCCAGACUCCUACGGGAGGCAGCAGUAGGGAAUCUUCCGCAAUGGGCGAAAGCCUGACGGAGCAACGCCGCGUGAGUGAUGAAGGUCUUCGGAUCGUAAAACUCUGUUAUUAGGGAAGAACAAAUGUGUAAGUAACGAUGCACGUCUUGACGGUACCUAAUCAGAAAGCCACGGCUAACUACGU